AUUGAACGCUGGCGGCAGGCCUAACACAUGCAAGUCGAGCGGAUGAGUGGAGCUUGCUCCAUGAUUCAGCGGCGGACGGGUGAGUAAUGCCUAGGAAUCUGCCUAUUAGUGGGGGACAACGUUUCGAAAGGAACGCUAAUACCGCAUACGUCCUACGGGAGAAAGCAGGGGACCUUCGGGCCUUGCGCUAAUAGAUGAGC
RNAcentral lists this ribosomal RNA (200 nucleotides) under uncultured bacterium. Its description in RNAcentral is "partial 16S ribosomal RNA". It matches the Rfam family "Bacterial small subunit ribosomal RNA", at positions 30 to 230 of the family's 1533-position model. The record is from RNAcentral.